GAGAUCACUGUAUUUUGUGGGAAAGAAAUUGUUCACAUGGUCCCCUAAGUAGUCAGAAACGUGGAGACCCUGAGCAGGACCAAGUUUAUCAGAAAGAUCCUGUCUCCAAGAAAAAGAGAAAUUUUUAUCUUCUCUGAAAUAAGAGGGAAUAGAAUUAAAAAGAAGCUGAAGAAGAAAUAAGGACAGUAUGCAAGUUGAUGAAAGACUAUGAGAAAUGAGGACAGGAAGACUGCCCUUCUGAACCUCCUCUCUGUCAAAGGACUUCUAGGGAUUUUCAGCAUGUGGAGGAAGAUCAGAAAGUCUCUGCGGAACUUCUGCCAAGCGGCUGAAGUCAGAGACUCUUCCCACACUCCCCUGGGCCUCGUCAAUUCUUAUCAAGGAUUCAGGGGUGGCAGCCGCAGCCUUCCCACUUCAGAAAAGGAAGCAAGUAGAGCACGGGAAAAGUAAACUAACACUGGGAAGCCCAAGGCUCCUAUCAAAUGUCAGCUCUUCUUGCCUGACCAUCAGAGAGGCUUAGGUUUGUGUGAAAGUGGGUGUCCCAGCCAGCAGUUCUCGGCUCGAUGGGUGCCAUAGAGGGGAAUGCUUCUUUCUGUGUCCCCAUUGCAAGAGGUGGGUGGGUGGGAGCCCGGAAUUAAGAAGAAUAUGUUGGGUCAAAUCUGCAAACCUUUUGACCUUCCUUCGUUCUGUCUUUAAAACCUAGUCUCACUCAUUCAGCAUAUUAGGUGCCUGUAGAGCUAACAAAGCCCAACAUCCUGGCUUGAUACACUGAAGGCUUCUUGGAGGGCUUACAAAGCAUUUUGAGGAGUUAAAUGUAAAUGAAUCAGGAACACAUGGAUUCAAUUUCCCUGGAAAUUCACAUGUGCUUGGAAAUGAAGGGGGGCAGUGUCUGGCCAAAUGUGCUUUGAUUUAUCUGACCCCAAAAUAUAUCCCUCCCCUCUCCCUUCCUCCCCUCAAAAUCAUUCAAAACUUUGCUUAAUGUCAAACUAUGGCUGGGUUCUUGAGACCCUUGAAACCUGGAGGGGUUUGAGUUCCUGGAGUUAAAAAGGGCAUUCAGGGAGCCUUUUUCCACCACCCCUGCCCCACCCCCUACUAAAAGAUCUCACAUGGUUUUCUUCUAUUUAACGGGGUUAAAUUAAGGCAAGGAUGUGAUGAUGUUAGUGCAAUCACAAAGCUAGCCACCUAUUGCAAUCUGUGGAAGCUUUUGCUUCUUGCAAUGAACAUUCUUAUUUGCAGGACAUUCUGUCAGUAAAAACCAGGUCUGCUUUUUUGAGGAAAUAAGCACUUGGAUAAAGGAGUACAAUUAUACAGCCAUUGUCAUCAUCAUCACCAUCAUUAUCAUCAUACGCCUAACAUUUGUUCAUUUAGAGAGUUUCAGAACGCCUUUUAAAAUGAUUAUCACAUUUAAUAGCCAUAAAUGUCCCUUAUAUGGAGUGUUAAAGAUUGUGUA
Molecule: long non-coding RNA, 1447 nt
Filed under: Vulpes vulpes (red fox)
Lineage: Eukaryota; Metazoa; Chordata; Mammalia; Carnivora; Canidae
Description: lncRNA (ENSVVUG00000016129.1)
Source: RNAcentral